Molecule: ribosomal RNA, 2141 nt
Filed under: metagenome
Description: bacterial LSU rRNA
Rfam family: Bacterial large subunit ribosomal RNA
Source: RNAcentral
CUUAGUGACCGAUAGCGCAUAGUACUGUGAAGGAAAGGUGAAAAGGACCCCGGGAGGGGAGUGAAAGAGAACCUGAAACCCUGUGUUUACAAGCUGUGGGACAUCUUUACAUGAUGAACCGCGUACUUUUUGUAGAACGGUCCGGCGAGUUGCGGAUGCCGGCAAGGUUAAGCACUUAAGGUGUGGAGCCGAAGGGAAACCAAGUCUGAAGAGGGCGCAUAUAGUCAGUAUCCGCAGACCCGAAACCGGGUGAUCUACCCAUGUCCAGGUUGAAGUUGCCGUAAAAGGCAAUGGAGGACCGAACGCACAUCCGUUGAAAAGGGUGGCGAUGAGGUGUGGGUAGGGGAGAAAUUCCAAUCGAACCCGGAGAUAGCUGGUUCUCCUCGAAAUAGCUUUAGGGCUAGCCUCGUUUUAGUCUUAUGGAGGUAGAGCACUGAAUUUCCGCGGGGGCGUCAAAGCUUACCAAAGAAUAUCAAACUCCGAAUGCCAUGUAGAUGAUGAACGGGAGUCAGACUGCACGAGAUAAGUUGGGCAGUCAAAAGGGAAAGAGCCCAGACCGCCAGCUAAGGUCCCAAAGUGUGUGUUAAGUGGAAAAGGAUGUGGGAUCUCCAAGACAACUAGGAUGUUGGCUCAGAAGCAGCCACACAUUCAAAGAGUGCGUAACAGCUCACUAGUCGAGAGGUCCUGCGCCGAAAAUGUCCGGGGCUGAAACACAACACCGAAGCUGCGGAAUUGCGAAUGCAAUUGGUAGAGGAGCAUUCUUAAUACCGACGAAGCUGUACCGGAAGGAGCAGUGGAGGGAUAAGAAGAGAGAAUGCCGGAAUGAGUAGCGAGAGAGAGGUGGGAAUCCUCUCGGCCGAAUAUCCAAGGUUUCCAGAGUAAAGCUGAUCUGCUCUGGGUAAGUCGGGGCCUAAGGCGAGGUCAAAAGACGUAGCCGAUGGACAACAGGUUUAGAUUCCUGUACCGCAUAUAAACAGAACUGUGGGGACGCAUGGGGAGAGCAUGGGCCGGGAAUGGAAAUACCGGUGCAAGCGAAGGAGGUGUGCAGCCGGCAAAUCCGCUGCAUGAGCCGAAAGCGUGACGCGGAGCGAAAUGAAAGUAGCGAAGCAUGUGAGCCCUGUGCCGAGAAAAGCCGCUAUCGCUUUAUAUGUGCCCGUACCGUAAACCGACACAGGUGGAUGAGGAGAGAAUCCUAAGGCCGGCGGAAGAAGCAUUGUUAAGGAACUCGGCAAAAUGACCCCGUAACUUCGGGAGAAGGGGUGCCUGCGAGAGCAGGCCGCAGAGAAUAGGCUCAAGCAACUGUUUAGCAAAAACACAGGUCUAUGCGAAACCGAAAGGUGAAGUAUAUGGGCUGACGCCUGCCCGGUGCUGGAAGGUUAAGAGGAGAGGUUAGCGCAAGCGAAGCUUUGAAUUUAAGCCCCAGUAAACGGCGGCCGUAACUAUAACGGUCCUAAGGUAGCGAAAUUCCUUGUCGGGUAAGUUCCGACCCGCACGAAAGGCGUAAUGAUUUGAGCACUGUCUCGACAAUACAUCCGGUGAAAUUGAAGUACCAGUGAAGAUGCUGGUUACCCGCGCCAGGACGGAAAGACCCCAUGGAGCUUUACUCCAGUUUGGUACUGGGAUUCGGUACUGCACGUACAGGAUAGGUGGGAGACUUUGAAACUUGAACGCCAGUUUGAGUGGAGUCGCUGUUGGGAUACCACCCCUGCAGUAUUGGAUUUCUAACCAGUCACCGUGAUCCGGUGAUGGGACAAUGCCAGGCGGGGAGUUUGACUGGGGCGGUCGCCUCCGAAAGGGUAUCGGAGGCGCUCAAAGGUUCCCUCAGAAUGGUCGGAAACCAUUUGAAGAGUGCAAAGGCAGAAGGGAGCUUGACUGCGACACCGACGGGUGGAGCAGGUACGAAAGUAGGACUUAGUGAUCCGGUGGUAUAAAGUGGGAUUGCCAUCGCUCAACGGAUAAAAGCUACCCUGGGGAUAACAGGCUUAUCACUCCCAAGAGUUCACAUCGACGGAGUGGUUUGGCACCUCGAUGUCGGCUCAUCGCAUCCUGGGGCUGUAGCAGGUCCCAAGGGUUGGGCUGUUCGCCCAUUAAAGCGGUACGCGAGCUGGGUUCAGAACGUCGUGAGACAGUUCGGUCCCUAU